This is a long non-coding RNA of Gossypium arboreum, 517 nucleotides long. RefSeq lists it as uncharacterized. Lineage: Eukaryota; Viridiplantae; Streptophyta; Magnoliopsida; Malvales; Malvaceae. The transcript is spliced from 2 exons. The record is from RefSeq and is a predicted model, not a curated record.
GGAUUCACUAUAUGCUCUUGUAUUACAAUUGGCACUGAGUGUGCGACAUUAUCGAGUUAAUCCCGGACAGCGAAUCGGGUCUCGUGGACUCGUAUUGUUGCGUGCUCGGAACCGUCGUUGAAGUCAUCACACCGGCUGAAAUAUUUUGGUAUUGUCUUCGUUGUUGAAGAACAAUUGGCAUGUAUAGGCUAUUAUAUUUUGUUGAACUGUGGGUUGUAAACUUUAAGCCAUGUGAAAAUGGCCUAUGUGGUCGUCGAGUGGGAUGCUAGAACCUAUAGCCACGAGUCUUAGAAACUUUAAUUUUGAUAAGGUGGCCAUAAUUUGUGUCAUGUUUGAUGGAUGAUUAAGGCCAAGGAAAGAUUCAUGAAAUUGGCAUAGUCUACUGCAGUAACUGUUGCAGACAGCAGCAGUGAGGUGAGAUUGAAAAAUCACUAAAAAUAGUAGAAGUAGAAUUAAAUAGUGAAUAAAUUAUGCAAUUGAACCCUGAUGAAUCUAGUUUAAUAUGGAUGGAACGAAA